UCAAUUUUGAGAAACCUUACUGACCUGAGGGUUACUGACUUGAAUGGAUCUGUUUCGUCAUUUCCACAACUUAAUAAUAUGACGAAUUUGGAAAUACUAAUAUUGAGGAGUUGCAACAUUAU
Molecule: non-coding RNA, 122 nt
Organism: Cajanus cajan (pigeon pea)
Lineage: Eukaryota; Viridiplantae; Streptophyta; Magnoliopsida; Fabales; Fabaceae
Source: RefSeq, a predicted model, not a curated record